RNAcentral lists this ribosomal RNA (680 nucleotides) under fungal endophyte. Its description in RNAcentral is "eukaryotic LSU rRNA". The stretch from base 187 to 340 matches the Rfam family "5.8S ribosomal RNA". The record is from RNAcentral. Lineage: Eukaryota; Fungi.
UACCGAGUUUACAACUCCCAAACCCAAUGUGAACCAUACCAAACUGUUGCCUCGGCGGGGUCACGCCCCGGGUGCGUCCCAGCCCCGGAACCAGGCGCCCGCCGGAGGGACCAACCAAACUCUUUCUGUAGUCCCCUCGCGGACGUUAUUUCUUACAGCUCUGAGCAAAAAUUCAAAAUGAAUCAAAACUUUCAACAACGGAUCUCUUGGUUCUGGCAUCGAUGAAGAACGCAGCGAAAUGCGAUAAGUAAUGUGAAUUGCAGAAUUCAGUGAAUCAUCGAAUCUUUGAACGCACAUUGCGCCCGCCAGUAUUCUGGCGGGCAUGCCUGUCCGAGCGUCAUUUCAACCCUCGAACCCCUCCGGGGGGUCGGCGUUGGGGAUCGGGAACCCCUAAGACGGGAUCCCGGCCCCGAAAUACAGUGGCGGUCUCGCCGCAGCCUCUCCUGCGCAGUAGUUUGCACAACUCGCACCGGGAGCGCGGCGCGUCCACGUCCGUAAAACACCCAACUUCUGAAAUGUUGACCUCGGAUCAGGUAGGAAUACCCGCUGAACUUAAGCAUAUCAAUAAGCGGAAGAAAAGAAACCAACAGGGAUUGCCCCAGUAACGGCGAGUGAAGCGGCAACAGCUCAAAUUUGAAAUCUGGCCCCUANGGUCCGAGUUGUAAUUUGUAAAGGAUGCU